RNAcentral lists this small RNA (27 nucleotides) under Bombyx mori (domestic silkworm). Its description in RNAcentral is "ovarian small RNA-17101". The record is from RNAcentral. Lineage: Eukaryota; Metazoa; Arthropoda; Insecta; Lepidoptera; Bombycidae.
GCUCGUCACGUCGGUACAUGAAGUAGU